AAAAGUGCGGGCAGAACAACUGGUCUGGUUUCCACUGGAGUACCACUCUGAGCUCUUCAAGACACCAGUUACUUUAUUGGAUCUGGUUAGUAAGAAACUUAAGAAGCUUCUACAUGGAGAAGAUGCAGAUGCCAUAUCAGGUAUGGCUGAAAAUAACAGCUACACAUCUACAGCUUAGGAUACUGGAGAUUUAAUGAGAAAAAGUACCAAAAGGUUGAC
RNAcentral lists this long non-coding RNA (219 nucleotides) under Homo sapiens (human). RNAcentral describes it as "HSALNT0193876". The record is from RNAcentral. Lineage: Eukaryota; Metazoa; Chordata; Mammalia; Primates; Hominidae.